This 506-nucleotide ribosomal RNA is filed under the name uncultured bacterium. RNAcentral's name for it is "partial 16S ribosomal RNA". It matches the Rfam family "Bacterial small subunit ribosomal RNA", at positions 30 to 523 of the family's 1533-position model. The record is from RNAcentral.
AUUGAACGCUGGCGGCAGGCCUAACACAUGCAAGUCGAGCGGCAGCGGGAAGUAGCUUGCUACUUUGCCGGCGAGCGGCGGACGGGUGAGUAAUGUCUGGGAAACUGCCUGAUGGAGGGGGAUAACUACUGGAAACGGUAGCUAAUACCGCAUAACGUCGCAAGACCAAAGAGGGGGACCUUCGGGCCUCUUGCCAUCAGAUGUGCCCAGAUGGGAUUAGCUAGUAGGUGGGGUAAUGGCUCACCUAGGCGACGAUCCCUAGCUGGUCUGAGAGGAUGACCAGCCACACUGGAACUGAGACACGGUCCAGACUCCUACGGGAGGCAGCAGUGGGGAAUAUUGCACAAUGGGCGCAAGCCUGAUGCAGCCAUGCCGCGUGUAUGAAGAAGGCCUUCGGGUUGUAAAGUACUUUCAGCGGGGAGGAAGGUGCUGAGGUUAAUAACCCCAGCAAUUGACGUUACCCGCAGAAGAAGCACCGGCUAACUCCGUGCCAGCCGCCGCCGUAA